This 199-nucleotide long non-coding RNA is filed under the name Fukomys damarensis (Damara mole-rat). RNAcentral describes it as "lncRNA (ENSFDAG00000024081.1)". The record is from RNAcentral. Lineage: Eukaryota; Metazoa; Chordata; Mammalia; Rodentia; Bathyergidae.
GUUCCAGAGGAAAACACAAAUCAGCUUUUAAUGAGCAGCAGGCUCAACAAGUCCUCACCUCAGAGACACAAAGCCUGAAAGGAAGCAAGCCUGCCCUUGAGGCUGCUCGGCAGGAUAUUCAGUGACUGAAUUCAUUCUUUACAGACCGUCCGUGGGUGAGUUUCGACAUCUCUGUCUCUGUUUAUCCACCCUUGGAAAC